This 254-nucleotide ribosomal RNA is filed under the name uncultured bacterium. RNAcentral describes it as "partial 16S ribosomal RNA". It matches the Rfam family "Bacterial small subunit ribosomal RNA", at positions 524 to 776 of the family's 1533-position model. The record is from RNAcentral.
UACGGAGGGUGCAAGCGUUUAUCCGGAUUCACUGGGUUUAAAGGGUGCGUAGGCGGGUAGGUAAGUCCGUGGUGAAAUCUCUGAGCUUAACUCAGAAACUGCCGUGGAUACUAUUUGCCUUGAAUAUUGUGGAGGUGAGCGGAAUAUGUCAUGUAGCGGUGAAAUGCUUAGAUAUGACAUAGAACACCAAUUGCGAAGGCAGCUCACUACACAAUGAUUGACGCUGAGGCACGAAAGCGUGGGGAUCAAACAGG